Molecule: ribosomal RNA, 875 nt
Filed under: Limosilactobacillus fermentum
Lineage: Bacteria; Bacillati; Bacillota; Bacilli; Lactobacillales; Lactobacillaceae
Description: bacterial SSU rRNA
Rfam family: Bacterial small subunit ribosomal RNA
Source: RNAcentral
GUGGCAAGCGUUAUCCGGAUUUAUUGGGCGUAAAGAGAGUGCAGGCGGUUUUCUAAGUCUGAUGUGAAAGCCUUCGGCUUAACCGGAGAAGUGCAUCGGAAACUGGAUAACUUGAGUGCAGAAGAGGGUAGUGGAACUCCAUGUGUAGCGGUGGAAUGCGUAGAUAUAUGGAAGAACACCAGUGGCGAAGGCGGCUACCUGGUCUGCAACUGACGCUGAGACUCGAAAGCAUGGGUAGCGAACAGGAUUAGAUACCCUGGUAGUCCAUGCCGUAAACGAUGAGUGCUAGGUGUUGGAGGGUUUCCGCCCUUCAGUGCCGGAGCUAACGCAUUAAGCACUCCGCCUGGGGAGUACGACCGCAAGGUUGAAACUCAAAGGAAUUGACGGGGGCCCGCACAAGCGGUGGAGCAUGUGGUUUAAUUCGAAGCUACGCGAAGAACCUUACCAGGUCUUGACAUCUUGCGCCAACCCUAGAGAUAGGGCGUUUCCUUCGGGAACGCAAUGACAGGUGGUGCAUGGUCGUCGUCAGCUCGUGUCGUGAGAUGUUGGGUUAAGUCCCGCAACGAGCGCAACCCUUGUUACUAGUUGCCAGCAUUAAGUUGGGCACUCUAGUGAGACUGCCGGUGACAAACCGGAGGAAGGUGGGGACGACGUCAGAUCAUCAUGCCCCUUAUGACCUGGGCUACACACGUGCUACAAUGGACGGUACAACGAGUCGCGAACUCGCGAGGGCAAGCAAAUCUCUUAAAACCGUUCUCAGUUCGGACUGCAGGCUGCAACUCGCCUGCACGAAGUCGGAAUCGCUAGUAAUCGCGGAUCAGCAUGCCGCGGUGAAUACGUUCCCGGGCCUUGUACACACCGCCCGUCACACCAUG